RNAcentral lists this ribosomal RNA (522 nucleotides) under uncultured bacterium. Its description in RNAcentral is "bacterial SSU rRNA". It matches the Rfam family "Bacterial small subunit ribosomal RNA", at positions 777 to 1297 of the family's 1533-position model. The record is from RNAcentral.
AAUAGAUACCCGGGUGGUCCACGCCGUAAACGAUGAGUGCUAAGUGUUAGAGGGUUUCCGCCCUUUAGUGCUGCAGCUAACGCAUUAAGCACUCCGCCUGGGGAGUACGGCCGCAAGGCUGAAACUCAAAGGAAUUGACGGGGGCCCGCACAAGCGGUGGAGCAUGUGGUUUAAUUCGAAGCAACGCGAAGAACCUUACCAGGUCUUGACAUCCUCUGCCAACCCUAGAGAUAGGGCGUUCCCCUUCGGGGGACAGAGUGACAGGUGGUGCAUGGUUGUCGUCAGCUCGUGUCGUGAGAUGUUGGGUUAAGUCCCGCAACGAGCGCAACCCUUGAUCUUAGUUGCCAGCAUUCAGUUGGGCACUCUAAGGUGACUGCCGGUGACAAACCGGAGGAAGGUGGGGAUGACGUCAAAUCAUCAUGCCCCUUAUGACCUGGGCUACACACGUGCUACAAUGGAUGGUACAAAGAGCUGCGAACCCGCGAGGGUAAGCGAAUCUCAUAAAGCCAUUCUCAGUUCGGA